GAGGAGGAGGAGGAGGAGGAGGAGGAGGAGGAGGAGGAGGAUGAAGAACGAGGAGCAGGAAGACAAGGAGCAGGAGGAGGAUGAGGAGGUGAAAAAGGAGGAGGAGGAAAAGGAAGGCUCCAGGAGAUUACAAGACAAGCACACAAGAUUAUGAGAUGAAAGAAAAGGAGGGAGACGAGGAGGAAGAAGAAGAAUAAGAGGAGGAGGAGGAGGAGGAGGAGGAGGAGGAGAAGAGGUGCUCUAUGAAGACCAAACAGCAUUUCACAGCUCUUCCUGACUACCCAAAGCACAUCAAACUGGACAAGCACAGUUUUGAAGAAGAGGAGGAGGAAGAGGAAGAGGAAGGAGGAGGAGGAGGAGGAGGAGGAGGACGAGGGUUAGGUGUGGCCCCUCCCUCCCCCUCCCACACCACUGCAGUCCCAGCCUCUGAUUGGCCAGCCCUCAGCCAAUCAGGAGAGAGACUUUAUGGCCUUGCAGGUGGAGGAAGGCCGAAGGGAACUGGAGGAGGAGAGAAAGAGGCACAGGCUGGAGGUUGAAAACAAAAGGUCUAGAUUUAGAAUGAUGACAACGACCACAGCCACCACCAGCACCUCCCCCACUAGUCUGCCUUUCUCUUCAAGUCCCAGCGAGGAGCACCCGCCCUCCUCCCCAGCCUCCUCUCUCAACAGAUGGGAGGGCCUGGACAGACUGAGAGAGGAACUGAUGAAAGAGAGAGAGAUAGAGAUUGAAGAGAGAAUUGCAAGUGUAAGAGAGGAAGAAAGGAGGAAAUUAGAUGACGAAAAUCAGUAUUACGAAUUGUUCAGGUGGUCGAAUGUUCCAGCUAUCGGUUUACUCCAGCCACCCUCACUGAGCAGAUAUGAAAACAAGAGCCGCUGAGAGGUUUGAACUAUUCGUCUGCUGCUUUUAGUGUUUGCGGUGCUGUUCCAAGUUGUUCUCUUCGCUUAUUCCAAGGCCAUCAGUCGUGGCAAGAACCAGUAAAAUCAUACAACUUCAGGCAUUUAAGUACUUCAACAACUCGAUUACUCUUUUUACUGGCAGUGGUAGUGUUCCAGAGAGAGAGAGAGAGAGAGAGAGAGAGAGAGAGAGAGAGAGAAUUAUUAUUAUUAUU
Scylla paramamosain (green mud crab) is the source of this 1108-nucleotide long non-coding RNA. RefSeq lists it as uncharacterized. Lineage: Eukaryota; Metazoa; Arthropoda; Malacostraca; Decapoda; Portunidae. The transcript has 7 exons. The record is from RefSeq and is a predicted model, not a curated record.